AAGUCAGAAGAGGUCGAAAAAGCUGGUAACGGAACAAGGAACAUCGAUAAAAAAAAAGACCAGAGUCCUCUGACAAUGAGGAAACGGUGUCUUGCUGUCUGGCUAAGAAGUCGAUGCACCGUUCUGUGGAUUUAUUUCUAUAUCUAAAGAGCUCCACAACUUUAAAAAAAGGAAAUACACACGGCUACUUUGGAGUUAAAGGAGGAUUUAAGUAGUUAGCUCGUUAACGUUAUUUAUAUUAAUUACAUUUUUCAUGCGUGACAUUAAUCGUUGCGCGGCCUUGGCUUUGGAACAACGGCGUCAUCACCUGCAAAACAAAAGCUUAACAAACUCCUACCUAUAUUUUAUGUUCAAGCAUCAAUGGGAAACUUCGCAGCAGCAGCAAAAAGGGCAUUCUACAAGGAAAAGGUUGACAAUGCUACAGACGUUUGUAAACCGUUGUUUGAACAGCUGAACUUUGUAACUAUUGGAUGCCACUGUGCUGGGAAAAGUGAAGUAUGUAAUGCCAUACUUGGGAAAAAGACAUUUAGAUUUUGGUACUUAUGGAAAAAAACGCAUGUGAAGGAUACACAUGAAGCAAGUGGGAGGAGAAUAACAGUUACCCGUGCACCUGGCUGGAAUGAGAACAACCUCAGCCAACGUAAAGUACAAACAGAGAUAUUGUCCUGUGUAAAUAAGUCCUUCAAAGCUGGACUUCAUGCGGUUGUCUUUGUUGUGAAUGCUAAUAGACCCUUCUCAGAUCAAACAACCAGAACCCUAGAAGGGUUUCUCCCAGAGAAGGUGUGGGAUCAUACCAUCGUGGUGCUUCAUAAUGCAGAAGCUGAUGGUGAUGAGCUUGACGCCAUCUUACAGACAGACAGAUCUCUCCAGAACCUCAUUCAGAAAUGUGGAAACCGAUGUUGUGUACUCAACAGGAAAUCCAUAUGUGGUGUCAUUGACAGCCUUGAGGAAAUGAUAGCGGAGAAAAAAAGUAUUUACUUUGGAAAAAAUGUUGAGAUGGAAGAGAAGGCAAAAAAAAGCGUCAUAAAAAAGCUCAGGUGCAACAUUGAAUGUCUUAAAAAGCAAAGAAAUGAAAAUCUUGAACAACUUGAGGAGGUUCCAUGGAAAAACAAAAAAAAUGAGCUUCAGAAGAUUAUAGCACUGAUAGAUGUUGAAAUACGAAACCUUCAAGAGAUCUGCCAUAAACAGGAGGAAGAACUGGAAUCAUUACGGCAAGAAAAAUGCUCCGAUGUCUCGUUACAAGGAUGUCAACAGCUUCCAAAUAAAGAUCAGCAGAUUGCACAGCAGGAGGAAGAGAUAGCUCAACCAAGAGCGAUCCCCUCUCAUGUGGGACCAGUACCAAUCAGGUGCAAGAACAAGCGAUGGCCACGGCAAAAAUGGCGACGGCAACAAUGGCGGUGGAAAAGGAAAUGCGGAAAAUCGAAAAGGACAAAGACAUUAGGCAAAGAGAAACUGCAUCCAGGUGAAACACCCUGUCUGGAAAGCGAAUGGUCAAAGAAAUUACUGGAGAUUUUGAAUAACCUAACUAAACGCGAAUUCAAGGAAUUUAUGUUUCAUCUACGCCAACAAAUCACAAUACCUGAAGCUGAAUCACUUGACAGAGUGGAUCUUGCUGAUAUAAUGCUAAAGGUAUGGGGUACAUCCCAGUGUAUCAGCAAAACUGAGGAUCUGCUGAAAGAUAUCCAGCGUAAUGAUUUGGUGGAAAAACUAAAUACAUUUAGGAAAGUCUACUUCCAGACAUUUCCACUCCAUGUUGUCUCAUCUAAUCUCUUAGAUCAGGAGAACAUCCCAGACUCUCCUUUCAUACUGUUCAGGAUUCUGAUCUCGCUGAAGACUUGUGUGUUCAACCUUUGGACAAGAUCCGGGAACCAUGCGCCCUAUUAGCAAAAUGAUAACAUCAUGUUGACAGUGUCAUGAUGCCCUUAACCUGUCCAAGGAAACAGAAAAUCGUCCAAGCAGCAACAACACAAAUCUGUUUUUGAGGUCUUUUUUUCUUUGCUUGAAUAUCUGCAAAGAUGGAUAGGUCAGUUAGAUAAUCUCAGGUUCAGUUCUUAGGCUAUACUCUGGGACUCUAACCAAAAGACUGUAAAUACUGCAGACUUUAACAUUUAAGGAUAACAUUUUAAGUCAACAGUGUACAGGAACAGAGUGCCUUUUGAUAUUUUUGUCAUUGGACUGAAACCCAUAUUCUGGGAGGGAGAGCCCUGCUGCUCACAUCCUACUGCAAAAAAACAUCUCUCAGACUUCUAGAAGUAUUCUCCUAAAGCCUCUCUGAAAUGAGUGGGGGAACCCACAGAGAAGUCAGAAGAGGUCGAGUCCUCCAACAAUGAGGGAAAUGGUGCUUUGCUAGCUGGCAAAGAAGUCACUUGACCAAGAGAUGAACCGCUUUGUGGAAUAAAUUGUAUCUCUGAAGAUCUCCACAACUUUAAAAAAGGAUAUACACACAGCAAGAUGGAGUUUAAAAAGAGGCCUGAAGGAAGAGCUUAUCACGCUAAAACAGGAGCUUAAACGGCAACACUUCAGGUUCAAGGCUUUCACCGCAGCAAAGGAGCGUAGCCCCUUUGAGAACUGGAAGUGAGUAGCGCUGUGACUAAGGAGUCUAUAGAUACUUGUUAGUAGUAGCAGUAGUAGUUACUAGUUAGAUCGUAUAGAUAACUGGUAUAUAUAUUUACAGUUGCAGGAAAAAAUGUCUGACCUGGAAAGU
Long non-coding RNA from Clupea harengus (Atlantic herring), 2704 nucleotides. NCBI's taxonomy places the organism in Eukaryota, Metazoa, Chordata, Actinopteri, Clupeiformes, Clupeidae. The record is from Ensembl.